ACAGAGCUGCUGUUAAUAUGCUUUCCAUGAAUUCAUCAACCUUGAAUCAUUACGAUUUUUUGGUGAUGGUGUAGAGUAUAGUUUGAUGCUACUAAAGAAGGUUUGUCAUUUAUGGUGGUAUUUUGUGAAGGGCAGCGACAACGACGACGAAGUGGCUGUAGAUUUGGUUUUGGGUUUAGGGAGUUGGGAUGGGGGUAGGGAAG
RNAcentral lists this long non-coding RNA (203 nucleotides) under Olea europaea (common olive). RNAcentral's name for it is "long non-coding RNA (OEUR_LNC007754)". Lineage: Eukaryota; Viridiplantae; Streptophyta; Magnoliopsida; Lamiales; Oleaceae. The record is from RNAcentral.